CGUGUAGGCGGAGAUGCAAGUUGGGAGUGAAAUCCCGGGGCUCAACCCCGGAACUGCUUUCAAAACUGCAUCCCUUGAGUGUCGGAGAGGCAAGCGGAAUUCCUAGUGUAGCGGUGAAAUGCGUAGAUAUUAGGAGGAACACCAGUGGCGAAGGCGGCUUGCUGGACGAUAACUGACGCUGAGGCGCGAAAGCGUGGGGAGCAAACA
RNAcentral lists this ribosomal RNA (207 nucleotides) under uncultured bacterium. Its description in RNAcentral is "partial 16S ribosomal RNA". It matches the Rfam family "Bacterial small subunit ribosomal RNA", at positions 568 to 774 of the family's 1533-position model. The record is from RNAcentral.